Molecule: ribosomal RNA, 468 nt
Filed under: uncultured bacterium
Lineage: Bacteria
Description: partial 16S ribosomal RNA
Rfam family: Bacterial small subunit ribosomal RNA
Source: RNAcentral
GACGAACGCUGGCGGCGUGCUUAACACAUGCAAGUCGAACGGAAAGGCCCUGCUUUUGUGGGGUGCUCGAGUGGCGAACGGGUGAGUAACACGUGAGUAACCUGCCCUUGACUUUGGGAUAACUUCAGGAAACUGGGGCUAAUACCGGAUCGGAGCUCCUGUUGCAUGGUGGGGGUUGGAACGUUUCGGCGGUUGGGGAUGGACUCGCGGCUUAUCAGCUUGUUGGUGGGGUAGUGGCUUACCAAGGCUUUGACGGGUAGCCGGCCUGUGAGGGUGGCCGGCCACAUUGGGCCUGAGGUACGGCCCAGACGCCUACGGGAGGCAGCAGUGGGGAAUAUGGCACAAUGGGCGGAAGCCUGAGGCAGCAACGCCGCGUGCGGGAUGACGGCCUGCGGGUUGUAAACCGCUGUCGCCUGUGACGAAGCGUGAGUGACGGUAAUGGGUAAAGAAGCACCGGCUAACUACGUG